This 376-nucleotide ribosomal RNA is filed under the name uncultured bacterium. RNAcentral describes it as "bacterial SSU rRNA". It matches the Rfam family "Bacterial small subunit ribosomal RNA", at positions 28 to 404 of the family's 1533-position model. The record is from RNAcentral.
GACGAACGCUGGCGGCGUGCUUAACACAUGCAAGUCGAGCGGUAAGGCCCUUUCGGGGGUACACGAACGGCGAACGGGUGAGUAACACGUGGGUGACCUGCCCUCAGCUCUGGGAUAAGCCCGGGAAACUGGGUCUAAUACUGGAUAUGACUCCACGGUGCAUGCCGUGGGGUGGAAAGCCUUGUGCGGCUGAGGAUGGGGCCCGCGGCCUAUCAGCUUGUUGGUGGGGUGAUGGCCUACCAAGGCGACGACGGGUAGCCGGCCUGAGAGGGCGACCGGCCACACUGGGACUGAGACACGGCCCAGACUCCUACGGGAGGCAGCAGUGGGGAAUCUUGCGCAAUGGGCGAAAGCCUGACGCAGCGACGCCGCGUGA